AUUUCCAGGUGCGGGGGUGGGGUGGUCUCACCAUCUAUUCUACUGUGAUAGUUUAGAUUAUUAUUCAUUCAACAUUCAGUCCCUUACCCUUUCCAGUGUGGGUAAAGGUGCUUCACCUGAUGUUGGGCUGGAAGUAAUUUGGUGGCCAGUGGGAUGCCAGCAGAGGUGAUAUGAAGCUAUAUUUAAAAAAAUGCUUAUGAGGUUGGGUUUACUCAUUUGCAUCUCUGUAAUUCCCUGAGGAACUGCUGUCCCUUCAGCCUCAGGACCCAAAUGAAGACAUGUGGAGCAGAUGUGACCUCAUCUCACACAAAGGAGCCAAACCAAGGUGGAUGUGUAGCCUGAAGCAGAGAUACACAGGUAAAUUUAAAAGGUGCUUUCCCCUUGGCACGGUGAAAACCAUCAUUUCAAUGGAUCUACACCCUUCUGGACGCUCCCUCUACCCGAUUUCCUACUUUCAUCAGAGCCUUCUAUAUGGAGAAUGCAGAAAGCCCACCAGUGUUGUGAACUGGUGAGCUUUCUGCAGUUCACAGCUGAAGGGCAAGGAGCCUCGCCCAGAGAUUUCACAGGGCUCAGGCGGGAGCUGAGAUCCCAUCCCAGGAAGCAGUGAGAAGAGCCUGCCAAGGAGUGCUCCCGGUUCCUGGUUUCCUCUCCAGUAGGGCUCUCACCUUAAGCAGUGACUGCACAGCGAGUCAGACUGGCUCGUGGGGUUGGAGACAUUGUCACCUCCAACGAAGAGGAGAGACGUGGACGGCCCAGACUUGCCCAGCGCCUAACCCCGCGGCCCUGGGCGCCCGACCUCUCGCGGGGCUAGAUACCCGGGAGCCAGCGCAGGACGCAGCGCAGGACUCCCACGUCCCCCCACCCCCGAGGCAGACACGCCCUCUGCCCACCGGGUGACUUCGGCCGCGGACUCUGGAAGUAAGCCUGAGUCAGAGGAAACGUCCUUCUCAGAGGGACUCGGGAUUCUUCCCAGAGCAUCCGGAGUUUCCCCGUCCCACACGCAGCACGCUGUACUUUACACGGGUCGGCCUAGCGAAUCGCGUGGGAGUCCCAUCUGCUUUAUUCCACUCAGGUUUUCCAGCACAGCCCGAAUCCCCUAGGCACCCGUAAAUAAGUGUUGAACGCCUGGCUGGACGGCCGACUGACUGAAGGAAUGACUGAGUGAAAGACUACGUUCAGAGUCGGUACAUCCCCCCUUUCCAGUCUACCCAAGUCUCCGGGGCCCGCCCACCCGGUCUCUUCGCCGCCCAGACACCAGGUCCCUCGGCUCAGGGCAGACACAAACCUUCUCGGCAGGGCUCUCCGGGCGGCAGCCUCACCUGUGCCCCCAUGGCCCCGGGACGGGGGUUCCCGAACGCGGGCGCUGGCUCCUCACCUGGGCCUCUCCUCCCUGUGGACCCGCGGCGGGUGCGGCUGCGGGGUCCGGCAAGGGGCGCCCUGACCCCGCCCCCGGGGCAGCCUCCGCCAAUGGCUUUGGCCAGGCGGAGCCUCAGAGCCGGGCGCGGCCCAGGGGUUGUUAGGCACUUUCAGAGCUCCCGCAGGGCUGUGGGCUGCCCGGGAUAACUCGUGUAUCUGGCCGGAGGAUCAGCUGCCCCUCCGCGCGGCUGCUGGAGGAACUAGAGAAACACAGACACGCCUCACAGGCCAACGGCGUCUCUCGGAGCGUGGAGCCCGCCAAGGCAACUCCGGUUUACAGAUAUGGGAUUAGAGACAGAGUGAAGUUAAGUAACCUAACCAAGGUUGGAAGACUCGAUAUCAAGAAAACUUUCGGCUGGGCGCAGUGGAUUAAGCCUGUAAUCCCAGCACUUUGGGAGGCCAAGGCGGGUGGAUCACGAGGUCAAGAGAUCGAGACCAUCCUGGUCAACAUGGUAAAACCCCAUCUCUACUAAAAAUACAAAAAAUUAGCUGGGCAUGGUGGCGUGUACCUGUAAUCCCAGCUACUCAGGAGGCUGAGGCAGGAGAAUUGCCUGAACCCAGGAGGUGGAGGUUGUGGUGAGCUGAGAUCGUGCCAUUGCACUCCAGCCUGGGUAACAAGAGUGAAACUCUGUCUCAAAAAGAAAAAAAAAAAGAAAGAAAAGUUUCAAGCUAUUUACAGCUUUUAACAAUUAAGUAUAUUGCUAUGAAUAAAAUUCAGAGCAUAUUUGUUUCUCUGUACCUGAUUUCUACAGAAUUUGGAAACUAUUUGUAAGUAUUCUUACAGCAAUAUAGUUAUUUGCAUAAGUGCAAUAAGAAUCUGUUUUCAUUUGUAACAGGACACAAUUAGAUAAAUUAGUUAGUUUACCAAAGCUUUUACUGGAAUAGUGUGUUUUACUUUAAGGAAUCAAACUUGACUUAAGGAACCAAUAAAAGCCCCUUGGGAAAACUGGCCUCAUACCUGUGCCUACCCAGCCCUUGUAUAAGGUUCCUGACCUGUGUUAAGUAAAGAAUGUCACUUUCUGAUAGGCUCAGGAGCCCCAAGUUUAUCUUGGACCCUCAAGAGGACAGGAAUUCACCCAACUCAUAGGUAUUUGAUGGUACAAAUUCAUGACUAGACUUGACUUUUAAAAAGUCCUAUCUGAAAUUUUUUCUAUGGAAUAAAGUUCCAUCAAAGCCAACUUAAAAGCACAUGUAAAAAAACAAUUAUUCUUGUUGCACCAUAAACAAAUAAUCAGGCCAAGUAUGAUAAAGCAAAUCAGUCCUACCGGAUUUGUCUUAAGUAAAAAUGGAAAACUGGAGAGAAAAAAUUAUGUUUCAAAAACUAUAGUACCCCUGUUCUUAGAUUCCAGUCUUGCCUAAUAUUUUUGAAUUUUUAUUAUUUUCUACAAUUUGGUCUGAAUUCUAAUUUUUCUUGGCUACAAGCCUUCCAGAUAAUGCUUUCAAUUCCUUUCCUUCUUUUUUCCUCCAUUUUUCUUAAUUUGGGGUCACUGAAAACUAAGCUGUGCUUUCAAAAAGCCCUGACAACAGAAGCUAGACAACUUAAACUUCAAAAGAAAAUAACAGCAACGUAUUUACAUACAUAAGCCACUUUCAUACCUCUCUCUUGUUGUGUGGACUUCAGAGUAAUGAGGCCUAUAUCAAUUUUCCAGGAUUGUUCUUUUGUUUGUUCUUGUUUUUUCCCUUCCUCCCCUAAUUUUCUCUUCAUAGGACAUGAGACUUCACAAUCUGCUAAAAAUUAGCCCUCCUAAAUAACUCCGGACCUACCCACCUAGUAAUAAGCCAUCCUAGCCAUGAGAUAUCAGACAAAACCUCAGACCAGAGACUCAUUUUCUCCUAAAAUGCUUUCUCCAAAAUACUUUUUAAAGAAAAGGGGGAAAAUGUGAAAGAAAAAUAAAUCUUGGGGCUCUCAAAUCACUAGGCUAAAGAAAAAGAGAAGUUGGAAACUGCUUAGGGCAAACCUACCUCCCAUUCUAUUCAAAGUCACACCUCUGCUCAGGGAGAUAAAUGCAUAUCUGAUUGCCUCCUUUAAUCAGAAACUCAAAAAAAUGCAACCAUUUGUCUCUCAUCUACUUUUGACCUGGAAAGCCCCCUCCCUGCUUCCUGUCUUUUUGAGUUGUCACACAUUCCCAGACAGAACCAAUGUUCAUCUUGCAUAUGUUGAUUGAUGUCUCAUUUGCUUUUAGAAUGUAUAAAACCAAACUGUGCUCUGAUCACCUUGGGCACAAGUCAGGACCUCUUGAGGCUGUAUCAUGGGGUUGUGUCCUCAAUCUUGGCAAAAUAAACUUUGUAAAUUAAUUGAGACCUGUCUCAGAUUUUCAGGGUUCACAGGGCCAAGCUAACUUUGGAAGAUAUUUAGGCUAUAGUUUAAAUGAUAGUAAGUCUUAUCCUAAAACUCAUCCACUUUUGUAAAGCUAAUGGGAGGCCUUCAGCCUGGUGGGGAUGGGGGGGAUCCUAAGUCCUGCUAAGUUGCAGACAUAAACAAUUGUCAGCCAUUAUUCCAGAGGUUAUAAGAUAGGCAGCUUCCCCAAUUACUCCUGCAAAUAACAUCACUAUUGUAGAAUUUAACACUGGCCUGUUAAGAUAUCUUUUCAAGUUUGUUUUUUUUUUUUUUUGCCUGUCUGACACUCAUGGCUCCACCUGGACCAGCCAACCCAGCUCCUAUGGCCCCACCCAGAAGCAAUGCAGCUCACAGAAGACAGCUUUGACUCCUUAUGAUUUCACCUCCACCCCAACCAAUCAGCAGCAAGCACCUAUUACCUGGCCACCUCCUCCCCUUCCCUAAAACUGCCUUUGAAAAAACCUGACCUAAGAACUUUGGAGGAGAUAAUUUGAGUACAAACUCCAUUUCCCAUGUGGCAUAGCUAGCCUUGUGUCUAUUAAAUUUUUUCUACUACAGUGUUGUGGUCUGUCUUCAUGUAGUGGGCAGGAAGAACCACUUGGGCAGUUACAGAGCAGGGCUUGAGGCUGUUUGCAGAAAUGUUGCAGUCCAGUCUAGUACUGUGCCUAGCCUACACUGGUAAUUUUUUUUCUCAAUCAGUCUACUUAGGAGGUUAUCAAUUUUAUGAAUCUUUAUAAGAACUAGCUCUUACCUUUAUUGAUUUUCUUUAGCUAUUUUUAAAUUUUCAUUGAUAUCUACUCUUACUUUUAUUACAUAUUUCCUUCUACUGGGAGUUUAAUUUGCUAUCCAUUUUCCAGUUUCCAAUGUGAAAGCUUAGACCUGGAUUUGAAACCUUUAUUCUCUUUCAAUACAAAUGUUUAAAGCUAACAUUUGCCUCCAUAUACUGUGUUAGCUUCAUCCCACAAAUUGUGAUAUAUUGUGUUUUUAUUAUCAUUUAGUUCAAAAUAUUUUAAAGUUUUCUUUGCGAUUUCUUCUUUGACCCAUGGGUUAUAAAGGAAUGUGUUGCUUGAUUUCCAGAUAACUGCAGCUUUUCCAGAUAUACUACUGCUAUUGAUUACUAGUUUAAUCCUCUUUUGGACACAGAACAUAUUCUAUACAAUGAUGGUUAUUUGAAAUGUAUUGAGAUCUGGUUUAUGGCCCAGCAUAUGGUCUGUCUUGGUGGAGGGUCCAAGUUAAAUUGAAAAGAAUGUGUAUUCUGCACUUGUUGGGUGUUGUGUUUUAGAAAUGUAAAUUGGGUUAAAUUGCUUGAUCAAAAUGUAGUUUAUUGCCACUUUUUAUAUUUGUUUAAUGAAUUAGUGAGAAGGAGUGUUAAAAUCAGCUGUAAUUGUGGAUUUGUUUAUAAAUUUAGUGCUGCCAGUUUUUGCUUCAUGAAUUUUACAAACUUGGUCAUUAGAUAAAAACACAAGUAGGAUUAUUAUGUCUCCUUAAUGAAUUGACAAUUUUAUCAUUAUUAAAU
Callithrix jacchus (white-tufted-ear marmoset) is the source of this 5270-nucleotide non-coding RNA. Lineage: Eukaryota; Metazoa; Chordata; Mammalia; Primates; Cebidae. The record is from RefSeq and is a predicted model, not a curated record.